Zalophus californianus (California sea lion) is the source of this 622-nucleotide long non-coding RNA. RefSeq lists it as uncharacterized. The record is from RefSeq and is a predicted model, not a curated record. The transcript has 3 exons. NCBI's taxonomy places the organism in Eukaryota, Metazoa, Chordata, Mammalia, Carnivora, Otariidae.
AUUAUAGCUCAGGAGAUGGGUGAGGACUACAGAUACAGGUGGGAAACUCUUGAUUGUACAAGGACAGUUAGAGCUUUGAGAGCAAAUGGUAUCCCCAGGGAGAAGGCAGCCCUUCUUGGCAGCAGUUCUCCACGCAGUGACUUGGGAAUGUGAGAGCCUUUUAUCUUCGGAUGCUGCCAUCUUAAACAUGAGCUCACUGCAGUUGCUGUGGAGGGGACAGAGCAUGGACCAGCAUGCAGGGGGUGUAUGGCCAGGUCUGGAAGCAGUUGAAACUCAUGACCUUGCUGCUUGGCCAAACUUCUCCUUGUCAUUCUGCUGAGAGAGAGAACAAGGGCAGGAGAGUGCACACAAGCAAGCAACCUUGACUCCAUGCUCCAUGUUGCCCUGUGGAGUUCGAUGUUCUGCAGAUUCCGUGGGAUUCAGAGGAUUUGCCAGCAUGCUUUCUUCUGAAAUUGGCACACGUGCAUGCCCGAUGAAAUGAUAUUUACUUGCUGAUCAUCUUAACUAGUAGAUGGAAACGAAUCUAAACUAAACAACUCCGCAAGCAAGAUUUCUGCCAGUGGGUGCGCCUCCUGGUUUUACAGUUCCGCUGCAUCCCGGGCUCUCAGGGAACAGGAGAGUA